Long non-coding RNA from Daphnia pulicaria, 3547 nucleotides. RefSeq lists it as uncharacterized. Lineage: Eukaryota; Metazoa; Arthropoda; Branchiopoda; Diplostraca; Daphniidae. The transcript has 2 exons. The record is from RefSeq and is a predicted model, not a curated record.
CACUAUACACAGUGUGUGUAGUACGUACUAUAUUCAAACAAAUAUAACUGUCGACCGCACAGCGUGCAGCAGCUCUCUAUUCGCUGAAGUAAUAAUGUUGUUGCCGUUAUUUCGGGCUGCGCGCCCAUAACUCGCCUAAAGUUUCUUUUUUCGCCCCACUUUACAUGAUUACAAAUCCAUCGGCUCUCCCCCCCACACGUAGCGGAAGAGUUGUCAUCAUUCAUGUCCGUGUUGGUUAAAUUUAGUUGGCGGAGGACUUUAAGUGGACGAAAGCGCCUUGAGGAUGUCGCGGAGUUUGGAAAGUUGAGCGCAAUAUUGAUUGCCCCUUUUUGAUCCCCGGCUACAUAAUCAAAUAACUGGGCGUCCCGUCUUUUUGUCGUCGCUUUGAUCAGAACUUGUUUGAUUCCCCUAAACUUGCCCAAUUGGUGACAAAUCCAAUAUCAACUCUCUCUCUCUCUGUGUGUGUGUGUGUGUGUGUACAAGAAUAGACGAACAAGUUUCCAGGACGAGAGAUAUGUAUAGAAUUCCUUUUUUAGACUUUUUGCUCGUAUAUUAUUACGACUUCCGUAGAAAUCCGAGCGUAUUAUUCUGUUAGAAAGUAUUACUCUGCUCAUCUAUUGGUGCUGUACUGGGAUGGAUGAGAGGGCACCACGGAGCACCCAGUGACCGUCAUCUUUUAUUUGUUUGGCCGACUACCAACUUCAAUUUUCUUUUCUUUUGCCGUCCCUUUUUGAGGGUUUCCGCGAACAAGAUUUGACGUUGAGUCAUUGAUUGCACUUGACGGAAAUCGAAUAGAGAGGCUGCUAGUCCUGCUGCGAAACUCGACCUUUUUUCCCGCCGAGAUUGCAGAAAUGCGGCCACACUCGACGGCGGCCAAAGAAAUGGCCAGGCUAUAACGUAGCGUGAGCCUUUUUUUCUCGUCCGUGAUUGGAAAAUCGGAAGAUGGACGCGGAUGUGUCGUCUCGUUCUUUUUUCCUGGAUUUUCCCGACCUGCACGACGACGGAUAUGAUGUUCGAUCGAAUUGAAUUGAAUGUUAUAUGUGUACCACGGCUUCUUUUCUUGAUCAAGAAUAUCGAUCCAAGCUGGAAAAAAAAUAAAAUAAUGAUUUCCAGUUAUUUCUUUAUAACGAAGACGUGAUGACUUUCAAUCGACCGGAUCUAAUAAUUGUAGUGCGGCGACUCUGCCAGUCCCGCUCGAUGAUGUAUUUCAAUCAGCGGGAAUCCGAAUCGCAUCAUUACCCGAAGAAGAAAAUAAAAAUCGACGCCGCCGCCGCCCCCGGAGCGUCGGCAACUUGCGUGCGUGCUGUCAGCUGCUGGCGGAUUCGGUUUCACCUUCUCAUAGCAGACACAUCCCACUCGCGUCUAAACCCAUCGGCAUAUUUACGGAGACUGAUGGAAGACAUAUGCGGCACACGUGCCCAGCACACGACGCCGGCCAAACUCUUUCAACGGCUGACAAUGAUUCGAUCCCGUUCAUCUUUCUUUCGUGCUGAUUUUUCGGCUUUCUUUUUCUCACGCUUCAUUCAGAGAUGAUAAACUUGCGUCACGUAUAGAAUCAGGGCCAUAUUUUUAGCAUUUCUCAGCGACGUCAAUGCUGGCAUUUUGCGUAUGAAAUAUCUUUGCAGCGAAGCCAAGUGACGACGACGACCUACACAAUUUCGGUCGUCCUUCACGCGGACCCGUGACCGGGUCAUGAUGAAUGGCGUCCAGUAACUAAGGAGAUUCCUGGAAUCGGAAAUUCCUCCGCAUUUCCAUUGCUAGGCACUCAAUUAGGAAAGCCAGUACACUGUGUAUAUCCAUCAUCCAAUGAAAAAUGGCAUUCUGGGAUCGUCCACGGCUGAGAUUCUUUUCCAAUCCUGUGGGUUUCGCGCGUGACACAAGUCGUGCGGAAUGAUAUAGACUCGGCUGGAUCGGAUCAGACGCACUGGACCGAACCGGACCGUACAUGUGUGUUCAAACGGUGCGGCCCGAUCCCAGAAUAGAGCAGCUGUUUGUUCUCAACCGAGGACACACUAUAUAUGCAGUCGAGUCUCGAUGUGGAACCGACACAGGCGAAAUGCACCGGACGAGAUGCUGGUGAACCUUGAAUUAUAUACACAUGUUCCUCUGCUGUUUAGUUUAGGAAUUGCUCUGCCGAGAAUUACUGCCCCCCGAGCGAUAUUAUGACAAUAAAACAAUGUAAGAUUCAACAAUGCCGUUCAUCAAUGACAAAGCUUUGAUUCGAUUAUUUCUAUUGAAUGUUCGUCAUCAGUCAUUUACGGCUGGCAUCGUCCACAAGUUUCUUUCGUAUGUAGCCCACGUAUAUCGACGGUCAUUGCCGUAGCGAAUGCUUUCUCUCUUAUCAUGCUGGCGACUACCGUCUUCCAUCUGAUGUGUGGAAUGGAGUGUUGUACAUGGGAUUAUUGUACACAAACAGUUGCCAUGUGGAAUUGCCUGGUACGGAGACUGUCUGGUCGUGGCGUAUAUACAUCUAUCGGUCAUCGACUUCUGCUUGUAGUCCUUCCGUCCUUCCUUCCCAGCGGAAAUGUAUGUAGCACCGGGCCAACUGCCAAAUUCAAAGGAGGAGACUAUGUUGACUGUUAGUUAUAUGAAUAGACGGCUGCGCAAGGAAAAUGAACUGCAGACGAUCACUUCCAUUUCCAGCAACGGGGACAUGAACAGCACAACCGGCAGCACCGGUUUAUUGUCUCAACAGUCGACCAGCCAAUUGGGGACGAUUCUAAAUGCAACAACGACGGCGAUACCCGGCAUCAUCAUCGGCACCCUCACAGCAGCAGCAGCCAACAGUUCGACGAUGAAUUCGAUAUAAUUCCGUCUAGCUAUCCGCCUGCCAUAGAUUCGAAAAAUAAAAAAAGGAAGAAAUGAAUUCGUCCAUCGCCGCCAACAACCUCUUCUCCUCCCACCAAGAAAAUUAAAAAAAGAGAAAAGUCCACCACUGUUACCAGUUGUCGUCGUCUCGUCAAACUGAUUUACAAAUAAUUGAAUUAUCAAAACAAACAAUGAACUGAAACCAAUUGUAGCUAUGAUUAAUUAUGACUGUUACUUGAUUACGUAAAAGAUAAAAUUUGAACGCGAGUGAGAACAACAGCAGCUUACACCGUAUAUAUUCUUCGUCUCAAUUUGUUCUCUUCCAAUAUAAUAUGCUGUUCAUUAAAAAAAAAAGGAAAAUUGGAAAUUGUAUUUGUCGUCUAAUGGAUCCCAGCUCCCCGAAAAUUCCUUUCCCUUUAUCUCUUCUCUGUCUUCUUCUCGUUCCCCUUUCCAUCAUCCAUCGUACACCCAUCCACCGCUGACUAUUUACAUGUUUUUGUUUCAAAAAAUGAGUAAGAGCGAAAGAAGAAGAGGGAUAUCAUUCGGUGCUGCCCACAGGAAUAAACGGGGCGCCUGCGAUGAUUGCAGCUCGAGCAUUCAGAGAUUUCUGGGUAGAAGAAAAGAAUGAAAAGAUUCGAUGAAGAAACAACAUCGUUAUUCGUUUGUCGCAGACCUUGUUUGUAUAACCUAGUCGUUGCUGACGUUGUUUAUUUGUAAAAUAUAAACCAUUUUACCCCCA